UGCCUGAAAACUAGUUUUACCACUGGAC
This 28-nucleotide non-coding RNA is filed under the name Homo sapiens (human). The record is from RNAcentral. Lineage: Eukaryota; Metazoa; Chordata; Mammalia; Primates; Hominidae.